This is a long non-coding RNA of Amphiprion ocellaris (clown anemonefish), 1450 nucleotides long. Lineage: Eukaryota; Metazoa; Chordata; Actinopteri; Pomacentridae. The record is from Ensembl.
AUUACUCCCACCUGGUCAUGUGACAAUUCAUCCAAUAGCCAUUUGCAGCACACUUGGUGGAAGAGAAUCUGCCACUACCUGGUGUCAGGUGGGGGAGGUGGGGACAAACCAUUUUCCAAGAUCAAGCGAUUGUUCUCUUGAAGCCAAACUAAACUUUAGGCGAGGGACAAAAUUCAGAUUUAUUAAAUUUAGCUGAUAGUACCCUAAUCAAGGGAGGUGGAUUCUAGUAUUUAAUGGUCAGCAUCAGUGGGAACACCGGUCUACACAACAUGCUUUAGUCACUUUACCCUCAGUUGCUUUAAUUAUGCUACAUUUGGUCCUAAACAAGUUCCAGAUCAGCCUCAAUUAUCCCUCUGAGCCAAGAUGCAGGAGAAACACCUGAGAUGCUCCAGCAAGUUUUAAACUACAGCAGCCAGAUUUAUUGAAACAUUGCUUCAAGAUCCUUUAAAGAAAACCAGCUGUUUAAAGUCAGACUAAACCAGUUUAAAUCAUCAAUGGAGUUUAAGGACACAAACUCAAAUUCAUGGUUUACUUUAGGUUUAUUAGAGGUUACUUCGUAGUUUCUUGGAGGUUCUGCUGAUCAGUUCUUUGCCCUUUGGAUCUGCAGGAUUUACUCCUUUGAUUAACUACCCACAGGGGUUCUCCUACGAUAUAAAUGACUUGAGACCAAGGUUUGUCCGUCUCCCAGACCCCUCAGUCUGGAUCCCUGAUAACAUUCCCACCGACCCCUUCCCAUUGGUUGUUCGUGGAACUGAUCAGCAGAACCUCCAAGAAACUACGACGUAACCUUUAAUAAACCUUAAGUAAACAUGAAUCUGAGUAUCUGUGCUUGACUUUAACGCCAUUGAUUUAAACUGGUUUAGUUUGACUUUAAACAGCUGGUUUUCUUAAACUAUCAAGCAGCCGUUCCAAUAAUUCUGGCUGCUGUAGUUUAAAGUCUCUCAGGUGUUUCUCCUGCAUCUUAUCAGCUCAGAGGUAAGAAAAUGGAGGAUGACCUGGAACAAAUGACACCGUGUCUGGGACCAAAUGCAGCUAUAGUGAAGAACCUGACAGUAAAGUGACUCUAAAGCGUCUUGUGUAGAUGAGUAGUUCUACUGAAUUUGUUCUGACCAUUAAACCCUAGACCUCUCCUUCCUUGGUUGGAGUUCUGUUCUCAGCUGAUCUAGUAAACUGGAAUUGUGACCAAAGUAAACCAUGAAUCUGAGUUUGUCUGACUUGAACUUUACUGAAGGUUUAAAUGAGUUUUAACUCUUUAAACGGUUGGUUUUCUUCAAUUCUCCUGAAGUUAUCUUUAACUGGCUGCUCCUGUAGUUUAACAUUGCCAUGAAGGUAUUUGAGCUACAAAUCAGGAGAACAAGGGUGAAAACUCUGCUUUUCUGGGACCAAAUAAAGCAGUUCGCUUAAAAGUGAUGUUUUUCUGUGUAGAUUAAUGGACUAAAGUGGUUUUUCC